AGAAAACGGAGCCAGGAGGUGAUCCUUGUUAUGGGACCCUCCCUGCGAGGGCAGGCGGAGAAACGCAUCUCCUCCAGGUAGGUCCCUGCUCUGGGGUGGACACCAAACUGGGGCUAAAGGGGUCUCCCAUCAAAUACAGGUCCCAGGAGAAAUUACUUUGCUCGGCCAAACACACUCAUCAAAAACCUCUGUGCAGUGGUGCUGCUGGAGGGGAUCCAGGAAAGUCCAUGUCUCCACAGCCCAGGCCAGUGGGUGUUUUUUAGUGGGGAUGUGGGUUUUUCUGUGUGUUUAAAGCAUUGUUUGCCUUUGUCAUCUGCAUUGUCUCCUUGGAGGCUGCUUUGCCAUACGGAAGGGCUCAGCCCUUCCCACUGUGGAGGAAGGCAGGGCAGUGCCCACAGCCUGGUGGCAGCGAGAUCUGCCCGCCGUGAAGGAGGGCUUGGAGACCUUGAGUGGCAGCUCCGCACAGCGCUCUAGCUGCGCAUGGGACUGAAAAUCAAUCCCCAUGAUGGAAAUAAAGACUUUGAAGGGAGCACCGAGACCUUCAGCAAAGUUAGUGUCUAAUGGAAGUAAGCGUAUCUGCUUAUAAAACCGUCAUCACAUGUGGAAGCAAUAAACCUGCCAUGAGCGCUGGGCUCAGAGCUGCCCUGCACAUGCCCUUUGCAGCCUGGGCAGCGGCGUGCGUUUAUGGGAUGGCUGCUCCCUGAAACACCUCCUGGCUCCCCAAAACGCCUCUUGACUGGGGCCGUGUCAUGCUGGAAGCAUCUCUGCCCGUGUGCAGGGCUGCUGAGAUGCUUGUGGUGACCUGAGCUCUGCCAGGGCUCCUCUUGCUCCUUCUGCUCGCAGGUGGGUGUUCUCCGGGGCUGGACCAUCCCUUUGCCAUUCAAACAAGCCUGAUUUUGGGGGGAAGGAACUCAGCCAAGGCUUGGAGGAGCUCCCCCUCCCCGUGCAUCUGGACGCCUCGUCAGCCAGUUGGCCGCCUCCUUGCACAAUGCGGCGUUAUGAACUCGCUGUGCAUCAUCCGGCAGCAUCCGGCCCGGCUGAGACAAUGGAGCGCCAAUUAUAGGCAUCUGAAUGACAAAGUACUCCAAUUACCCUGCGCUUGAAAGCGUGUGCUCUCCUCCCUGGCGCUGCUUUGCCAGCGCAGGCUGGCAGCCCUCUCGGGCUCUGGGACCCAGCCGCAGGCAGGAGGGCUUGGGGUGUCCCCAGUACCCCCAAAUGACAGAUGGGAAAUGGGUCUGGGGGUGAGAAAGGGGCUUGCUUUGCAGUGGGCUGGCUGCGCAUCCCUCCUGGGAGGCAGAUCCAGCUGUUGGGGCUUGGCAGCAAACCUGUUCGGGGCUCACCCUGCUCUCCAUCCUCCGCAGCCCCGACUUGCACAUCUCCCUGGCUUGGGCAGGGGUCUGUCCUGCUCCCCCCUCCCCGCAAUAGCCGUGAGCGGGACUGGGGGAGCAGCCUGGCUAUAAAUAGUGCUGAGGAGGCUGGGAUGGUGCAGCUGGGGCGGCAGCAGCAGCUCUCCCACGCCGCAGGCAGCUGCGAGCGGCUCCGCGCAGCCCCAGCGAUGGGACCCAGCCACGCUCCCUCUGUGCGAAACCUGCACCCCUCUGGCCAUGCACCCCCUCCCCACAGCGCUGCCUCCCCCUGCCCAGUCACCCCUCUGCACUCCCGAAUGUUGUAGAAAACGCAACUUGGAGCCCCAGGUGCCGCACACCCCCCUCCGGCUCUGCCUGCGUUUCCCUUUUGGAUCUGCGUUUCCCUUUUGGAUCUGCGUCUCGAGCACCGAAACCCCCACAAAGAUUAUGGCAGUCCCAAGAAGGGCACAUGGUCUGCAUUAGCCCACUGCAAUGUGCGCGUUAUUAACACAACUCCUGUUGACAAAGCCGCAGGUAUUAACACCAUAAAGCAUUUUGACAGCUGGACCGAGGAGGGGGGGGCGCGGCUGGAGGGUGCGAGCAACACCUCUGUAAGCUUUUAAUUGCUUUCUGAGUUGUGUCAGGGAGAUUUGUUUUGUCCCAGCAGGCACCACCAGCUGAGGAGAUGGCAGCGCAGGAGCUCGGCACCAUCAGCUCGGAGCUCUGGCACAGAGCAUCGCUUUGCGCUGGAGCGGGGAAGGGAGGGGAUGGCACAGCUGGAGAGCGGCCCAGGGGCAAGUCUGGAUCCGAACCGCCCGUGAGCCUGACAGACGGGGUCUGCCUUUCCUGGCAAAGUACCGUCUCUGGGAAAAGCCAAACCCCCGGCUCUGAGCGAUCCCCAAACUCCGGGCAGCAGGAAAGCCACGUCUGAGCUCUGCGGGUCCUGCCAAGUCUCGGCACAGCGGGACGGAGCUAUCGGCCAAGCAGCGCAGCCCCAGCGAGGGGCUCUGGGCAGGUCAGCGGCCGUGGCUGGAGGGAUGAGGCUGGGAUGGAGUGACCAGACCUCCUCCAGCUGCGUGGGACAACGGACAACACCCCACGGGUGCCUGGAAUGGUGAGACCCCCGGGAUCCAGACCCCAAGGUCUGUCCCAGCCACCAGGUGACGCGGAGCAGCGCCCAGCGAGGAGCAGGAGGUGAUGCUGCGAUGCCCGGAGGAGCAGCCGCCUGCUCCUCUUUAUAAACCAACCCUUGGCUGUAACAAGAACCCUUACUGAAAUUCUUUGGUCCCUAAAAAUCUCCUCACAUGCCACUCUCUUCUGUCGCAGCCCUUCCAGCUUCGGGCAGGACGGCUCUGCCUGGUGCCCUGCCCAGCCCAGACCCCACGGGGAUGGGUUAAGCUGUGCGUGAGAGGGGGCGCAGCUGGAAAUGUCACGGCCUGUCCUUUGUCCCAGCGAGGCCGCUGCUUGGUGUGUCAGCACCAGAAAUGCUCUUUGUGGAGCUUGCUGGAAAAAAAGAAGUGGGUUUUCUGGUGGCUUUGGGUCUGCGCUGCGCCCUCCCGCCGUGGGAUGCGCCAUGGGAUUCAGGGUUUGGGGCAAGCGGUCCCUGAGCCCCCCGGUACCACCACCUCGAGCGCAGGCACCGCGCAACAGCCCGAUGGCACCGUGGGAGAAGCCAGCGGCGGCGAUGGAAAGCUGAGCCCGGCAGACGGAGGCGGCUGCUCAGCUGGGCUGCAUCUGCGCGAGGCUGGGCCGGUGGCCAGCCAAGACUCAUCCAGGGCUUCUCCCAGCCGCCUCCAAAGGCCAGAGGUGUCCAAGCAAACCCGGGUGAUGCUUCGCCCCUCUGCCACCACCCUCGAAGGCUCCUCAGAGCCCUCCCAACAGCACAGGUUGAACACUGACUGUGAGCUCCUGCCGUCAAACUUUUUACUGAUUUUACUAAAAAGCCCAGGUAAUCCUUCUCCUGACAAAGCCAAAGACACAGUAAUGGGAAGUUAUAAAUAACAAUGAAUAAAUAAUAGUCAUUGGGAGAAUUUCAUCCUGGCUGCUGACGGGAUGAGAGGAGGAAUGAAGGGCUGCGAAGAAAAGCCCAGGGUGAGGAAAGGGCCCCUGUCACCCUGGUCUGGGGGCGUUCUGGGAACAGGGAAUGGGGUCUGGAGCCCAGCUGCUCCGGGGGAAGGCAAGGGGGACCCUGAGCUGCCCAUGUUGUGUUGGGAAAAGUUCCUUCUGAGGGGAAAGGGAGGAAAUUUGAUGUAGAAAUCGGGCUCUGGGGUUAUUGCUGUCGACUUCAGCAAGGGGCUUUGCUUCGCUGGGAGCCAUGGGAGCUUUCCUCGAGGGACAGUCCCUGUGGCAGGGGAGGAGUUUGUGGCAAUAAGGCGCCUUUCAGAAAAUUAAUUGUAUUUUUCUAAAGGAAAAAGGGACUAGAGAAAAAAAAUUCAUUUUGUUUGAGCUCUCUAGGGCAGCUUUGCUGAGGAAUUUGCACUUGGCCACUUGGCAAGAGCCGAGCCACGUCUGGCGAGCAGGAAGCCGAGGGCUGCCGUGGUCCAAGGGCCCUGGUUCUCCCUGCGAUCAAUGGGAUUUGGCCACUUAAAAGCUUUUAAGGAUGGAGGCCAAGGUCUGCUCUCGUGCAGCAGGCGCAGGGGCUGCUCCGCGCUCCCAUCCUCUGCUCUGCGCCUCUGCCAGCUCUGAAACCACCCAUUUGUUCUCCGUGGUGCACGGAUGGGAAGCUCAGCUCCAUCCUGAACCGCAAUUUAAAAUGUGCCGAGCAGCUUCCCCGGCUGCCGCGCAGUGAACGCCGAGUGGCUCCGAGCUCGUACGCCCACGGCAGAGUUUUACCAUUCAGGGGAACACUGCUCUCUCGAUUUAGAUGGCCAGGGAGGGAUCGCUGCUGAUACCUCCCCCUUUUCCCUAACUCGAGCCCUGUGCACGCUCUUCCUAUCCGUGCUGCACGUCAGACGCCCGCAGCCUUUGGAAAACAGGGAAUAACUUGAAAAACCCAUGUCUGUGCCCUGUGGGGAGCAAUUCCAUGGGGCUGGGGCUCGGCUGGACCACGGCACCCAAAGCAGAUGGUUCAGGCGCUGCCACCCCGGCUCAGGGUGGGAGAUGACAGCGUUCCAGCGCAGGUUGGGUCAGGAUCAAACCGCAGCUCCGGUCCUUUGUGUGCAUCGGGACGGAUGCCGCCCACUGGGGUCAGCAGUGCCGGCGGAGCAGGGAAGCGUGGAGCAUCAGCGGGAGGAUGUGAAGGGUUUGGGAAGAUACGGGGCAUGUGGAUGGGUGUGGGUUGGGGCUGCGGGACCGCCCCAGUGCUGUCUUGGGGGGCUGAGCGGCGAUUUCUCUUGGGUUUUGGCCCCCAGACACCCUCAAGGUGACAAUAUGGCCCAAAAUCGCUGCUGGGCUCCUACCUGGGGGGGAUCAGAGCACCCCGAAAGCACAGCUCCGGGGUAGGAGGGAUCCAGCCAUUCCCCAAACUCACAAAAACCUGAUUCCCAUUACUAUCAAAGUGUCCCAAUCUGGUUUCGAUUACACUCCUUGAUUUCCAUGGCUGUAAUUUCUCCUAAUGCCUCUCCAUCCCGCCCCCUGCCUUUUCCACUGCUAAUCCCUCGCCUGACGGCUCCCAGCCUCCUGCCCGGUCCUUUUUUCUCCCUUUAACUGUCUUUCCAGUGCGAUCCAUCACCGGGGCGGCAGCGAGGGGGGACUCACGGUAGCGGCUGAGAUGAAACUCUGGUUCCUUAUAAGGCCCGAGCGGCGGAAUCGCCGACAAGCGGAGACUGCGAUGUUGGAGAAAUUCAAUCCCUCUCGGGAUGGAGCCAUGGCAAAACUGUGAGACAGUAAAAAUAGCUGUGGUUCCUCUCCCUGAGGAAGAAGGAAGAUUUUGGACAAUCUAAAAUAACCCUGGCAGGGCCAGGCAGGGGGGAGGAAAUCGCUCCUCGUGGCACCAGGAAUAAAGGACGUAAAUAUGUCAGCGGCAGCAACAUUAUCAAUAUUUCUCUGCUUAAGGCAUCGAUUGAUUCCACAUGCCAGGGGCAGCGCUGGCUUUCUUCUCACCAGCCUGGCUUUUGGGAACUGAUUGAUUCACUUUGGUUGCUGAUGGAUCAAGAAUUCUGCUGUUAGGAGGAAAUGAAUGUCAAAUCUGUCCUGGCAUCGGUGAGGACGGAGCGAGGCAGGAGCUGGGCUCGAGCAGGAUGAGUGUUUGUUUUCCUUGACUCAUAGCUGGGCUUGUUGCUGGUUUUAUUUUUAUUCUGGAACGGGACAUUUGUUUUAAUUGCUUCAGUGCUGACCCUGCUGUGGGAUGCUUUUCCAGCUGGUUUUCAGAGCGUGUGUAGCCCUGACAACAUCCAGGGUGGGUUUUGCCUCACUCUUCCUUUCUCCCAGCAUCUGGCCCACGCCAGGCAAGGACAACAGUAGUGGUUGUGUUGGAAAUAUCACAUCUAACUCUGCCAUGCCUCAGUUUCCCCGUGUCUAAAGCAGGGAUGCUAAUCCCUGCCUCUCUCACAGAUACCCAGAGGCCGGUUC
Cuculus canorus (common cuckoo) is the source of this 5855-nucleotide long non-coding RNA. RefSeq lists it as uncharacterized. The record is from RefSeq and is a predicted model, not a curated record. The transcript has 4 exons. Lineage: Eukaryota; Metazoa; Chordata; Aves; Cuculiformes; Cuculidae.